RNAcentral lists this ribosomal RNA (436 nucleotides) under uncultured Clostridium sp. RNAcentral describes it as "partial 16S ribosomal RNA". It matches the Rfam family "Bacterial small subunit ribosomal RNA", at positions 341 to 792 of the family's 1533-position model. RNAcentral also lists the same sequence under 1 other name. The record is from RNAcentral. Lineage: Bacteria; Bacillati; Bacillota; Clostridia; Eubacteriales; Clostridiaceae.
ACGGAAGGCAGCAGUGGGGGAUAUUGCACAAUGGGGGAAACCCUGAUGCAGCGACGCCGCGUGAGUGAAGAAGUAUUUCGGUAUGUAAAGCUCUAUCAGCAGGGAAGAAUAAAUGACGGUACCUGACUAAGAAGCCCCGGCUAACUACGUGCCAGCAGCCGCGGUAAUACGUAGGGGGCAAGCGUUAUCCGGAUUUACUGGGUGUAAAGGGAGCGCAGACGGUCUUGCAAGUCAGAAGUGAAAUCCCCGGGCCCAACCCGGGAACUGCUUUUGAAACUGUAGGACUUGAGUGUCGGAGAGGUAAGCGGAAUUCCUAGUGUAGCGGUGAAAUGCGUAGAUAUUAGGAGGAACACCAGUGGCGAAGGCGGCUUACUGGACGAUAACUGACGUUGAGGCUCGAAAGCGUGGGGAGCAAACAGGAUUAGAUACCCUGGUA